Prionailurus viverrinus (fishing cat) is the source of this 3857-nucleotide long non-coding RNA. RefSeq lists it as uncharacterized. NCBI's taxonomy places the organism in Eukaryota, Metazoa, Chordata, Mammalia, Carnivora, Felidae. The record is from RefSeq and is a predicted model, not a curated record. The transcript has 3 exons.
GGGCCCACGGGGGGCCCCUGCAGCCCACCGGGCGGGGCGGCCCGGGGGCCCCCGGGGUACCCCCCUCCCGCUCUCGCCCCACCCCUCUCGGGGGUCCGGAGUGCUCCCCACCCCGAGGGGGCUCCGCGUGCGACGGCCACUCGCCCGGCCCCGGCGGCUCCGCCGGGACCACCCCCACCCCUCUUCCACGCCGGUCGCAGGGCUGGACCCGAGCCCACGCUGCAGCCCACCCUGGUUGCGGGAAGGGGGGGGGGUCCCCCGCGGACGCGGCGGUGAUGAGGGCUGGGCGCCCUCCUAGCUCCCAGUUCCUUCUCUCUUCAGAUUGGGUUGGUUGGAGGGGGGGGGGGUGUCACUAAGUCAGGAGCCCCCACGGCCCCUGCGUAGUGCCAACCUCAUGCCCCCAUCUUUCCACCCAGGAACCUCAAAGAAGACCGCAGCAUGGGCGGCUCUCGAGACCCCCCUAGCUGCCCGGCAGCUGCUGCAAACGGGAAAUUUGGCACUCCAUUUUCUGGGAUGGCAGCGCUGUCUCGCUCCAAUCCCCCCGGCUUGCUCAGCCCCUUCUCUCCACGCCCCUGCACCAAACCCCUAGGUUGGGGGGGGGCGGGGAGGGAAGUGUGUGGGAGCGGGAGGCACCCCUUCUCAGCCCGGGGAGCGCAGGAGAACCUGGCGCCUGGCAGCCUCCGCCAUCAGUGCCACGCUUCUGCAUGGUAGAGAGUUUGAAGACUCCAUUUUCCCAUCGCGGAGUCCCCAGCGCCUGGGAGUGGGAUGGGGGUGCCCACGCCCCCCCCACAGCUAGUUGGGUUUCCUCCAGACUGCUCAACCCUCUGAGAGCACACGGCCACCGGCUCUGGCACCCUCCUUUCCCCUUGCACCGACCCUAGAGGGAGUCCCCACGUUGCCGUCCACCUAGACUUCUGAGAGUGAUUGGAAGGGCCAGCGGGAGAUGAGGAAACUGAGGCUGGGACAAGGGAGUGACUGGUGCGGGGUCAUUCAGACCCUGCACGGAGGACUUGAAGAAGGUGCCUACAAAGUCCCGUGGGUCACCAGUGUGCGCAUGGCAGAAGUAGGAAAGCGGGGUCUCGGAGAACCGGACCAUCCCCUCUCUCCUCUCCUUGGGGACCCAAACUGUACUCCUUCUGGGAGCCAUCCAUCCGUCCACCCUCGUACCGCUCCGGGAUUUUUUAGGGCUGGCAGCUCAGGCGGCUGAGGAUGUAACCAAAGCUUGAGCGUGAAUGGAGUAGCCAUGGAAAUAGAACUACCAAGAGUCUUAAGACGUGGAAGAAUGAUCCUCUCAUCCGCUCGCGGUUGCGGGAGAGAAGAGGCUGCAAAGACACCCAGGCGUGAAGAGGGGGCGUUAAUUGCCGGGUCUAAAGGGCAGAUGUGGUUAACCCGCAGCCUCUCAUUCUGGAGGCUGCCCCACAGGGGCCUCCAGAGGGCCGAGCCAGUCCUGGGCAAAGCCAGGGCCUUGGGGUCUCCACCGGAACCCGACCAGGUCCCGUCCCGCAUCGAGCUGACCCCUCCUGCCCCGUCUGCUGGGAGGACCAACCCCAAAGUGGGGGCCACGGGCAGAAGGGCUGUUCCCUCGUGGUCGUGGAUGCUUCACCAGCUAAAGUGCGGGGCCCGAGCGUCUUUGCCAUUCACCUGUAAGAGGAGGGAGUGGUGUCCUGGAGUCUUCCCAAGGCCCGUUCCAGCUUCGUCCUUGUGGUGACUCUGUGGCCCCAAGGGCUGCUCACUUCGUGGGCUUCAUCUCAGUUCACAGCUGGUGCCUCUGGUGUACGGGUGGUUCCACUAUGCCGCCUCUUCUCUGGGGGGACAGACGUCUUGGCCAGGCACUCUUUGUGUCCCGACAGCGCUGAUGGCAGUGGUGAGGCUCCGUGGUCUGGGGCCCAGGCUACCUGGAUCCGAGCUCCAGCCCCCCUACUCACUAGCUCUGUGAUCCCAGGCCAGGUACUUGACCUCUCAAAGCAUCCAUUACCUCCUGGGGGUGAUAAUAGUUUGUACUCCAUCCGGUUAUUGGGAGGAUUAAAAGAGACCAAUCAUCCAUCUAAAGGCUUUUCCAUAGAGCCUGGCUCAGUGAACAUUCUAUAACUGUGAGUUACUGUCAUUAUCAGGUCAUGGGGGCACCGGGCAGCGGUGUUUAUCCGGGGGCUGGGGUCACUUUGGGCAUCUCUUCUGAAUUCAAGCUGAUGAUGAAAAUUAUCAGAGAGAGAGAAAGAAAACAAAAUACCUCACAAGCUGUGACAAAAACGAUCCCGUUGGCAGCUGAGAGAUGAGUUGAGACAAAGAACCGAGUCCAGUAACUACAGACUGGUUAUGGCAGCGAGAGAGGGAGGGACGCCUCCCCUGCCUCCCGCUCCCGUGAGCAGGUAGGGAAUCACGCAGGGAUACCUGCAGGGCAACAUGGAGCCCAUGGCCGUGGCCUGGAAUUCUGGACGUGUUCUCCGCCAGCCUGGUGGAGGCUUCUCACCCUAACUGGGGGCGAACUGGGGCUCAGAGACCUCAGGGAGGGCUCUUCUGCACCAAGGCUGACUUCUGGGCAGCUGCAUGGCUGGGACUAGAACCAUCUCGUGGCUGCCUUUGGCUCAGCGCAAGGUGGGGAAAGGCAAAAGGGCUCCUGAGGCUGGGCUUCCAAAGGUCCAGGGAGAGGGAGCCCGCCGGCUCCGCCCUGGGGAAGAGAGAAGUGAGAGGCCCUUGGCUGCCAAGUGUGCGAGGUGCUUCAGGAAGCAUUAUUUAUAGAUCUGACUGUUUGCCCACUCUUAUCUUGAGGAUGGGAAUUCGGGACACUCGGUCACAGGUUGGUUUCUGCCCUUGUCAGCAGUCAUUCAAAAUGGCAAAUCCCCACACCCGCCGCACGAGGCAUGGACGAGACAAAGAGACAGCUUAUCUGCAGGAGACCCAGCUGGUCCAGAUUCGGAGGCACAGUUCUCUCCAGCCAGCUGGGGAGGCGGCUGGAGCAGACCAGGAGAUCGCCUCUUAUGUUUUAAAUGUCAAUAUGGUCCCUACUUGCUGACUUGCCAAGAUUUGAUCAGCUAAAUUGGCCCGCGCAGUGUGUUCCCCUGCAAUGCACGGGGUGCAUUUAGAUCUUUCGACAACGUCACAGGGGAAGCUACGAAGCGGCCGACAGACAGCCGUAAACACGUUUCAGUGGCUGUGGUUAGGCAGCCUUUCUUCAACACCUUCUGAGCUGCGUCCUGCCUCUUUGGGACUUGAAUUUCAAUACAGUUAGUUGUCUCCUUGGGCCCCAAUUAGGUUGGGGAAGGGACCAGCUCCAUUUGGGAUGCCAGGGUCAUCUCUGAUGAGCUUUUCAGCGUGCUGUGAUCCCAAGUAAGGCCGGCUUUUGAGUUCAGGCCUCAUUGGGGUCUUCCCAGUGUUUUGAGUGUCAUAUGUGCUAGGGAAGAAACCAGAUUAUGAGCUAAACUCACCUAAACUAUGAGAGGUUUUUCACUCACUCACUCACUCACUCACUUUCCACUCAAAACUUGGCGGACAGGGUCACAUUUCUUGCCUGUUUUCUGUUGACCUUGCAUCUCUCCCAUUUCUGGGAGGCGAGGGAGAAAACAGAGAGGUGUGGUUCUUUUCUAGAAUGUUCUGUGACCGGGAUAGGAAUAUCCGGGUCAGCAUGAGGAGGGCCAUCUGGGGGGCCUAGGGAUGCUUUACUUCUGGAAUAUCUUCACAAGACGGAUGACUAAGGAUUUCUGGGGCCCAUGCAGUCUUGGAGCUGGUCCCCUGCUUGGCCCAUCAGCCUGCCCAAGUUCACAGAACUCCUGAGUUGUCAGAUCUGCAGGUAGAGGCUGGGGGACCUCAGCUGUAGCUCGGAGCCCUGCUCAGAACACUGAAUAAAGCCAAAUCUUUCUGUC